UGGCCCCUGGAGAUCAUACCUCUUCUACAGAAUCAAAGCUAGGGUUUCAAUUCUUCAUCCAAGUAGAGAGGAUCCCUCUAGUUCUUCUAGUUCUACCUCUAGUUCAUCUAGAUCUAGUUCUAGUUCAUCUAGUUCUAGUUCUAGUUCUAGUUCUAGUUAGUUCUAGUUGUAAUCUAGAAAAUAGGGAGAGAGAAGAGGAGAGCGGAGGAGGAGCCGGAUCUGUCGGAUCUUCC
Molecule: long non-coding RNA, 233 nt
Filed under: Sorghum bicolor (sorghum)
Lineage: Eukaryota; Viridiplantae; Streptophyta; Magnoliopsida; Poales; Poaceae
Description: long non-coding RNA (SBIC_LNC002988)
Source: RNAcentral